GACGAACCGUGCAAACGUUGUUCGGAAUCACUGGGCUUAAAGGGCGCGUAGGCGGGCCAGCCAGUCUGUGGUGAAAGCCUCCAGCUUAACUGGAGAAGUGCCGUGGAUACUGCUGGCCUCGAGGAGGGUAGGGGCAUCUGGAACGGUCGGUGGAGCGGUGAAAUGCGUUGAUAUCGACCGGAACUCCGGUGGCGAAGGCGAGGUGCUGGGCCCUUUCUGACGCUGAUGCGCGAAGGCCAGGGGAGCAAACGGG
RNAcentral lists this ribosomal RNA (253 nucleotides) under uncultured bacterium. RNAcentral describes it as "partial 16S ribosomal RNA". It matches the Rfam family "Bacterial small subunit ribosomal RNA", at positions 524 to 776 of the family's 1533-position model. The record is from RNAcentral.